This 460-nucleotide ribosomal RNA is filed under the name uncultured bacterium. Its description in RNAcentral is "partial 16S ribosomal RNA". It matches the Rfam family "Bacterial small subunit ribosomal RNA", at positions 338 to 795 of the family's 1533-position model. The record is from RNAcentral.
CCUACGUGUGACAGCAGUGAGGAAUAUUGGUCAAUGGGCGCGAGCCUGAACCAGCCAAGUAGCGUGAAGGAUGACUGCCCUACGGGUUGUAAACUUCUUUUAUAAAGGAAUAAAGUGAGGCACGUGUGCCUUUUUGUAUGUACUUUAUGAAUAAGGAUCGGCUAACUCCGUGCCAGCAGCCGCGGUAAUACGGAGGAUCCGAGCGUUAUCCGGAUUUAUUGGGUUUAAAGGGAGCGUAGAUGGGUUGUUAAGUCAGUUGUGAAAGUUUGCGGCGCAACCGUAAAAUUGCAAUUGAUACUGGCAGCCUUGAGGACAGUUGAGGUAGGCGGAAUUCGUGGUGUAGCGGUGAAAUGCUUAGAUAUCACGAAGAACUCCGAUUGCGAAGGCAGCAUACCGGCGCCCGACUGACGCUGAGGCACGAAAGCGUGGGUAUCGAACAGGAUUAGAUACCCUGGUAGGC